AAAAACCCUAAUCGGAUGCUCCUAUUUUCUCCCACACCACUAUCGCACAAGCAGUGAAGCAACAUCCAUUCUCCAACCUCACAACACCCACCGUCUCCUCCAUCUCUCUACCCUCGCAAUAAUUUUCUAGCGACCAACCCCCACUACGAUCCAUCUCUACCUCUCUUCUCUAUCCUAACUUACUAUCCAUACCUGACACCACUCAUCGUCAUAGAUAACGUAAUCACCGAUGCCUCCAUCUCCGCCAUCAUCCAGUGGCAAAGCGUCAACGGCCAUCAUGCUUGGAAUCUAGCAUCAGUGACCUAACUCAUUCAACCGACCCUAAAAAGGCCCUUUUGUUCUAUGCUAAUCUCACUAAGGUAAAUUUCAAGAAUAUAUGCUUUUUUUGUUUGAUUAUUCCUUAUCAAUGUGUAUAACUAUUUCUUGCAUUUUGCAUUCACGUCACAUCCUUGCCCAACUCAAUGGAGUCUUGAUGCACCAUUGUUCUUCCUACGCUACCACAGCCACACUCCUCUUCUCUACACAAACAGACACACAUUGUUGAUAGACCCACCUCCAUUUCUUCUGACUGAUUAUUCUUUGGUAUUAUAUUCUAUUCUCUCUAUGUGUGUGUGUUAUGUUUUAUUAGUUUUAGAUCAUAGAUCAACAUUUUGGGUUUUUGCUCUUAACUAGGUUUAUGCAGGUCAAAUGAGUAAAAAAGAUUACUAAACAUACUGAUUGCAUAAGAAAUUGGGUAUGUCUAUAUGUUUGACAAAUUGGUUACCUGAAUUAGAGUUUUUUUUUUCAAUACUAUGCUCUUAAAUAGAUUGUUCUACUUAAAAUGUUAGGUUAUCAGUUAAUUAUAGUGAAGGCUGAAAAUUACAUGAGGUAAUUUCUAAAUCAGGUAAUUUAUUUGAGGUUUUUUUUCCAAUACCAUGCUCUUAAAUAUAUUAUUCUACUUAAAAUUUUAGGUUACCAACUAAUUAUAGUGAAGGCUGAAAAUUACAUGAGUUGAUUUCCAAAUCAGGUAAUUUCCAACAGCAUGCUCUUAAAAUAGAUUUAUGUACAUAACUUUCUAGGCUAAAUGCAAAAACAGUAACAUUGUCACCAUUUUAUUUUAUAUCAAAUGUAGAUGUAGGUGAUGGAAUCAAUUUGGAGUUCUGGAGAGGUGUAUCAAGCCUUGAAAAGCUUGAAUCUUAAGAUAAAUGAAGUUAGUCUUCACUGUUCAGGUUAAUUUAUAUGUAUUUACUUGCUAAUAUUACUUGACUUACAUAUUGUAUUUUUUAUUUUAAUUUUGACCGGUUUUUUCAAUUCUGUGCAUAUAUCUUUGUGCCUUAUAUCUUGCAUUUGUUUUCUUAGUUAUUUUCUUUAUAAGUUGUCAGCAUUUAUGGUGCAUCAAUAUUGCAAAACAUUUUCUCAAUUGGGUAUAACCAAUUUUAUAUACAUUUUCUAAUUAGGGUUUAUUAAAAAAAUCAUCUUCUAACAUGGUCUAAACUGUAUUUUCACUUUUCUUCCUCAAAGACCGGUGGAUAUAGCCAAGACAUGAUCUCUAUAGUGAGCUUUUCUUUAUCAAAGAUCAAUAAAGGUAUGUGAAUUUGAUGGUCAUGAAAGUAAAUUGUGAAUCUUGAGUUUGAGUAUUAAUGAAAUGCAUUUAUUUUUGUUUUUUCAUGCACAUAUAUGCUUGGAUAGGUGUAUUAGGCCCCAUAUGAUCCUAAAAAGCUUUAAGCUUAAGAGAAAUCAAGUUAGCCUUGACUGUUCACAUGAAAAUAUGCAAAUUCUGCCACAAAUGUUGAAUAACUACAAAGGUGAGUAAUGAGGGCAGAUCGUCUUUGAGUGAAAAAGCGCAUGGAAAUACCACAUUGAGGGACAAGGAUUCAACCUAACCUGGUUAGGAACAACAUACAUUUUGGAGACUCAUAUGUACAAGUAUAAUUAGCUUGUGAUACAAUAAGUAAAUUCAUGCUAAUCUUCCUACAAUUAAGUGAUUUUAAAACCAUUAUUUUUGUUGUGGGGGUUAUUUUUUUCGGUUUGACGUUACGUAUGAUAUAACCAAAGUGAGUACAGUAAGAUUCUAGAAGGUAGCUUCCCUUUGUAACAAUAUACAUUUUUGCAGUCAAUUCAUAAGUUGACCUUUUUCUUUUGUUCUUUUGAUUUUUUACUUCAUGAGCAGGAUUUGUCAUGGUAAUUAAGUGUACACAUAAUUAUAUGCAUCUUGCCAUUCAAAGUCGUUGAUCCCAGGUUUAACUCUAUGGAUCCCAAUGGUUGCAAUUUCCUUACUCCAGGUAUGCCCAGUUUUUUUUUUUAAAAAAAAACUUUCUUUUUUAGGCAUUUGGUUUUCAAAAAUGAAAUCUCUAAGGGUAUUUUUGGAAAUUUCUUUGUUUCCUUUUGGUUUGCUAUGCGAAAUACAUAAAAAAAUAACAAGUUAAAACCAUCUUUUUUGUAUUUAUUAAUUAUGUGUAUAUCAAUUAACAAGUUAAAACCAUCUAUUGAUGUUUGUAUUGACCCACCUCCACCAUCCAUGAACCCAAAUUUUUGAUAUGUUUCU
This 2524-nucleotide long non-coding RNA is filed under the name Lactuca sativa (garden lettuce). RNAcentral's name for it is "long non-coding RNA (LSAT_LNC007245)". The record is from RNAcentral. Lineage: Eukaryota; Viridiplantae; Streptophyta; Magnoliopsida; Asterales; Asteraceae.